AAAUACCACCCUUUAAUGUUUGAUGUUCUAACGUGGACCCGUAAUCCGGGUUGCGGACAGUGUCUGGUGGGUAGUUUGACUGGGGCGGUCUCCUCCUAAAGAGUAACGGAGGAGCACGAAGGUUGGCUAAUCCUGGUCGGACAUCAGGAGGUUAGUGCAAUGGCAUAAGCCAGCUUGACUGCGAGCGUGACGGCGCGAGCAGGUGCGAAAGCAGGUCAUAGUGAUCCGGUGGUUCUGAAUGGAAGGGCCAUCGCUCAACGGAUAAAAGGUACUCCGGGGAUAACAGGCUGAUACCGCCCAAGAGUUCAUAUCGACGGCGGUGUUUGGCACCUCGAUGUCGGCUCAUCACAUCCUGGGGCUGAAGUAGGUCCCAAGGGUAUGGCUGUUCGCCAUUUAAAGUGGUACGCGAGCUGGGUUUAGAACGUCGUGAGACAGUUCGGUCCCUAUCUGCCGUGGGCGCUGGAGAACUGAGGGGGGCUGCUCCUAGUACGAGAGGACCGGAGUGGACGCAUCACUGGUGUUCGGGUUGUCAUGCCAAUGGCACUGCCCGGUAGCUAAAUGCGGAAGAGAUAAGUGCUGAAAGCAUCUAAGCACGAAACUUGCCCCGAGAUGAGUUCUCCCUGAGACUUUAGGUCUCCUGAAGGAACGUUGAAGACGACGACGUUGAUAGGCCGGGUGUGUAAGCGCAGCGAUGCGUUGAGCUAACCGGUACUAAUGAACCGUGAGGCUUAACCUUACAACGCCGAAG
RNAcentral lists this ribosomal RNA (748 nucleotides) under Salmonella enterica. Its description in RNAcentral is "partial 23S ribosomal RNA". It matches the Rfam family "Bacterial large subunit ribosomal RNA", at positions 2195 to 2925 of the family's 2925-position model. Lineage: Bacteria; Pseudomonadati; Pseudomonadota; Gammaproteobacteria; Enterobacterales; Enterobacteriaceae. The record is from RNAcentral.